AGUGAACGCUGGCGGUAGGCCUAACACAUGCAAGUCGAACGGCAGCACAGUAAGAGCUUGCUCUUACGGGUGGCGAGUGGCGGACGGGUGAGGAAUACAUCGGAAUCUACUUUUUCGUGGGGGAUAACGUAGGGAAACUUACGCUAAUACCGCAUACGACCUACGGGUGAAAGCAGGGGAUCUUCGGACCUUGCGCGAUUGAAUGAGCCGAUGUCGGAUUAGCUAGUUGGCGGGGUAAAGGCCCACCAAGGCGACGAUCCGUAGCUGGUCUGAGAGGAUGAUCGGCCACACUGGAACUGAGACACGGUCCAGACUACUACGGGAGGCAGCAGUGGGGAAUAGUGGACAAUGGGCGCAAGCCUGAUCCAGCCAUACCGCGUGGGUGAAGAAGGCCUUCGGGUUGUAAAGCCCUUUUGUUGGGAAAGAAAAGCAGCAGGUUAAUACCCCGCUGUUCUGACGGUACCCAAAGAAUAAGCACCGGCUAACUUCGUG
RNAcentral lists this ribosomal RNA (492 nucleotides) under uncultured bacterium. RNAcentral describes it as "partial 16S ribosomal RNA". It matches the Rfam family "Bacterial small subunit ribosomal RNA", at positions 29 to 507 of the family's 1533-position model. The record is from RNAcentral.